Daphnia carinata is the source of this 1052-nucleotide long non-coding RNA. RefSeq lists it as uncharacterized. The record is from RefSeq and is a predicted model, not a curated record. Lineage: Eukaryota; Metazoa; Arthropoda; Branchiopoda; Diplostraca; Daphniidae. The transcript has 5 exons.
CUACGUUAAGCAUCCAUAUUUUUGAAGAAAGUGAUGAUGGUUUGAUUCGCAGAGGAAUCGUUUAAUUUUCUUUUUUUCUCGUAUUCCCCGAAAGAAACUAACAAAUCCAAUUAGGAACGAACAGCACACAGGGUGUUGUCGAAGAGGAACACGUAGUCUAGAUUAUGAGAACAAAUUUGAAAUUCUAGACAAUGCUCUUGAGCAAUGUGUCCGUUGUAAGAUUUAUUUCCUAUAUUGGCAUAAUAGUAUUGUUAGAAAAUCAUGAAUUGUUUUCUUCCUUUUAGGUUUUUGACUUCGUUUAAUGUUGUGGCUGAAUGGACAAUGAGAGAUUGAAUCAACAACAUAUCAAGUGGGCAGCUCAUGGUCAAACUCGUUUGGCAUAAAGGGUUUGUUAGAUAAGGGUGGAGGCAGCUUUAACAAUUUAGAUCUAGCACCUAUUAGACUGGUGGUGUUGGCCCCGUGAAUCUUAUCGUCUUCAAGCUGGGUGAAAAAACAAUGAUUCAGUUGGUUUCGUGCAACAUCCUCACAAAAAUGGGACAAGACUUAACAAAAAGAGCAUAUAGAUGCAGUGUCAAACUGUACCAGUGAGUACCAGAGUAAUGUGACAAACAUUCAUGAUGGUGAUUAAUCUUCACACAGCUAACAUUUAGUUGUUUGGAAGCCACUUGGAGUAAACCUUUCGUCAGUUACUCACAAAAAAAGAUUGGCAAAUCUAGUCCUGAGAGAUCACUUUUUUUGUCAAGGAAAUACUGGAAAUUGGUAUUGAAAAGGUAUUCAACCAUGGCAUGUUGACCAGCUAUCUGCGGAGUGAAAAUCUACUUGACAGUGUUCAACCAGUUAAGUACAUUUUACAAAAGAUUCUGAGAAUUGCAAAAGUUAUGUGAACAAAUUUUGUAUUGGAGAAAUUCUAGGUAAAAUGAAAGCCAUUUCACAAUACAGCUGAAUAGCUAUGAAAUGCAACCAAUCCAGGAACUGAGUGUGUUGAACAACCAAACUUAUCUUGGAGAGCUGCAGAAAGAGAAUGGAACAUUACCCUGCCAAACACCUGCUUC